Molecule: ribosomal RNA, 604 nt
Filed under: uncultured archaeon
Lineage: Archaea
Description: bacterial SSU rRNA
Rfam family: Archaeal small subunit ribosomal RNA
Source: RNAcentral
UUCCGGUUGAUCCUGCCGGAGAUCACUGCUAUUGGGGUCCGAUUAAGACAUGCACGUCUAGGAGUGCGACAGCACUACUAGCAGACAGCUCAGUAACACGUGGACAAUCUGCCGUUGGGAAGAGGAUAACUUCGGGAAACUGGGGCUAAUACUCUAUAGUAAACGAGUCCUGGAAUGGUCGUUUAUGAAACGCGAUACUCUUUUGUCGAGUAUUUUGCGCCCUACGAUGAGUCUGCGGCGGAUUAGGUUGUUGGCGGGGUAAUGGCCCACCAAGCCUACAAUCCGUACCGGCCUUGAGAGAGGGAGCCGGGAGAUGGAUACUGAGACAAAGAUCCAGGUCCUACGGGACGCAGCAGUUGCGAAACCUCCGCAAUGCGCGCAAGCGUGACGGGGGGACCCCAAGUGCCAUUGUACAACAAUGGCUUUUGUCUAGUGUAAAUAGCUAGUUGAAUAAGGGCUGGGUAAGACCGGUGCCAGCCUCCGCAGUAACACCGGCAGCUCGGGUGGUGAUCGAUUUUAUUGGGCUUAAAGCGGCCGUAGUCUGCUUCGUAAGUCCUCUGUUAAAUCCUACAGCCUAACUGUAGGGCCGCAGAGGAUACUGCGU